This 215-nucleotide long non-coding RNA is filed under the name Lathyrus oleraceus (garden pea). RNAcentral's name for it is "Pisum sativum (pea) long non-coding RNA (PSAT_LNC002158)". The record is from RNAcentral. Lineage: Eukaryota; Viridiplantae; Streptophyta; Magnoliopsida; Fabales; Fabaceae.
UCCCUCAUUAAUUGAGGUGGCAGAUCAGAUGGAUGGAAACGCGUAUUCCACAUGUGCUUCAGUCAACUGUCCCACACACGUGGUAAUCAAAAGCAACGCCCAAGAUUAAAACAAUUCAAAUGGAUCCUAUGGUUGAGAUGUAUGACAUCACAUCUUCUUCUCUGGUGGACCUCACCGGACUGGUCCACCAUCAACAAUCACCAAAAUGAAAAAAA